This 954-nucleotide long non-coding RNA is filed under the name Cricetulus griseus (Chinese hamster). RNAcentral describes it as "lncRNA (ENSCGRG00015005696.2)". The record is from RNAcentral. Lineage: Eukaryota; Metazoa; Chordata; Mammalia; Rodentia; Cricetidae.
GUGAAUCUACCUUUUGGCUUUAACCUCUUGGAGUUUUAAAAAUUAUUAUUUAUAGGUAUUACUGAAAUUUUUCAUCACAAAAUUUUACUUUGUAUCUUUCCAGAUACAAAAUCCGACUAGGGAGAGAAUGGAGUUGGAAAGAAAUGGAAGUGCAGAGUGAUGGAAAAAACGAGAAGGAUUUGGAGAGCACACUUUUUUUCUGCCGUGACAGGCCACAGCUGGGGGAUCCGAAUGGAACUAUAGAAGAUGACAAUCCUCUUGACCUCUGAAUGGCCAGAUCACACCACAACAGCACAUGCCAGCUUUGGGAAGCAUCUGAGACCAGCCUUCUCGGAGUGCCAAAUCUGGUUACUGAUUCCUCAUUCAUCUACAACACCAUCACAGUUUGGAAGGCACGCCUUCUAUCAGGAGAAACACACUGGACAAAUAAUCCUAAGAGGAGAUUCAGGAAAAGGAUCCCCACUCACUGCCUAUGGAGGAGAGUUCAGAGACCUGACUUUGAUGUACCAAUCCACUCUCAGAGGCUCUCUUUCGGUCUUGCUUGCGUCCUGCUGAGGAGUGAAGCACAAGACUCCCGAAGCAACCUGUAUGCCCCAGAUCAUCAGGGUAGGCUGAAGAGUGGUCUAGUCAGAAUACAUCUCAGAAUUUAUGCUAAGAACGUGGGGGAGGGGAUGGGAAGGUACUCUUCUACUCAAGUAGAAGCUGUAGAGAGGAAGCCCCAGAAGCGGCUACAGCCUUCUCAUUACUUGGACUUUAAAACAGGAGAGGGAAACAAACAAACAAAAACAAACAGAAAGAAAUUUGAGCGGUGGCUGGGUUUGGAUACUUCCAUUACAGGAGCAGAUACAUACUUGUCUAAACCAGUUUCAUUUGUAUCCUUUGUCACUUACAACCAAUAGAAUCCUCAUAAAAACGGAGGAGAAGAAACCUGCUCUGUUUCUAAAGGUUACAUCC